AUUAGUGCUACCGCAGAAAAGGGCCUUUUUGAGUCUAUUCGACGUCGAUUCACUUAAUUGUGUGUCACGUUCGAGAGCCACUUUCACUUUGGAGAAAUCAGUGUGCUCAUAACAGGCUUAUGCCUGUAUAUAACUGCAUGGGAUGAUGAAAUUGGGCCUUUGACUCGUUUCGUUGGUUUUCGAUUGCAAAGGUUAUGAUUAAUCGGGACAGACGGGGGCAUUCGUAUUGCGUCGAUAGAAGUGAAAUUCGGUGACCGACGUAAGACGAACAAUCGCGAAAGCAUUUGCCAAGAAUGUUUUCAUUAAUCAAGAACGAAAGUUAGAGUAUCGAAGACGAUUAGAUACCGUCCUAGUUCUAACUGUAAACGAUGCCAACCAGGGUUUUGUCAUAGCUCAUAUGCUUGACGAGCACCCUCCGGGAAACCUGAGUAAUCGGGUUCCGGGGGGAGUAUGGUUGCAGAAUCGAAACUUAAAGGAAUUGACGGAAGGGCACACCAGGAGUGGAGCCUGCGGCUUAAUUUGACUCAACGCACGAUAGCCGACUCGGUCCGGACACUUGAAGGAUUGACAGACUGAAAGCUCUUUCUUGAUUCAGUGGGUAGCGGUGCAUGGCCGUUCGUUGUUGGUGAAGUGAUUUGUCUGGUUUAUUCCGAUAACGAACGAGACUCUGGCCUAUUAACUAGCGUAACGUUUUUUACGUUAUUAAUUGGCUUCUUAAAGGGACAAGUGCUUUCGAAGCACGCGAAAAAGAGCAAUAACAGGUCUGUGAUGCCCUUCGAUGUUCGAGGCUGCACGCGCGCUACAAUGGAGAGCCUAGAGCGUACCAUGCGUUUUGAUAAAAAUGCAGAACCGUGAGAGGCCUCCGUUACUGGGAUCGGAGCUUGAAAUUAUUCCUCGUCAACGAGGAAUUUCUAGUAAGCACGAGUCAUAUCUCG
Molecule: ribosomal RNA, 935 nt
Filed under: Echinorhynchidae gen. sp. 2-1
Lineage: Eukaryota; Metazoa; Acanthocephala; Palaeacanthocephala; Echinorhynchida; Echinorhynchidae
Description: SSU rRNA
Rfam family: Eukaryotic small subunit ribosomal RNA
Source: RNAcentral